GAUCGUUUACCGUGCCAAAAUUAGAGUGCUCAAAGCAGGCAGAUCAAUUUUCUGCCACCGAAUACAUUAGCAUGGGAUAAUGGAAUAGGACCCUGUCCUCCUACGUUCAGUUGGCCUGCCGCGAGGACCAGGGUAAUGAUUAAUAGGAUAGUGGGCACUAAUAUGUAAUUGUCAGAGGUGAAAUUCUUGGAUUUAUGAAAGAUUAACUUCUGCGAAAGCAUCUGCCAAGGAUGUUUUCAUUAAUCAAGAACGAAAGUUAGGGGAUCGAAGACGAUCAGAUACCGUCGUCUUAACCAUAAACGAUGCCGACCAGCGAUUAGGAGACGUUGAAUACAAAACACCACCAUGCGCAUUGCGGUCGUCCUUGGUGUCGCUCACAAGGCGGCACCGGGGCGGCUUAGCUCGCAUGGCACCGGUGAAUGACUCCCUAGCAGCUGA
RNAcentral lists this ribosomal RNA (438 nucleotides) under Acanthamoeba sp. RNAcentral describes it as "SSU rRNA". It matches the Rfam family "Eukaryotic small subunit ribosomal RNA", at positions 746 to 1090 of the family's 1831-position model. Lineage: Eukaryota; Discosea; Longamoebia; Acanthamoebidae. The record is from RNAcentral.